GUCUACGACCAUACCAUCCUGAACACGCCUGAUCUCGCCUAUCUCGUCUGAUCUUGGAUGUGAAGCAGGGUCAGGCCUGGUUAGUACUUGGAUGGGAGAAAGGAGGAGGAAGCAUAGGAA
This 120-nucleotide ribosomal RNA is filed under the name Octodon degus (degu). Lineage: Eukaryota; Metazoa; Chordata; Mammalia; Rodentia; Octodontidae. The record is from RNAcentral.